Molecule: ribosomal RNA, 651 nt
Filed under: uncultured euryarchaeote
Lineage: Archaea; Methanobacteriati; Methanobacteriota
Description: bacterial SSU rRNA
Rfam family: Archaeal small subunit ribosomal RNA
Source: RNAcentral
UUAAGUUCAGGGAUUAACCUCGCGAAAGUGAAGGGUAACACCUGAUAAGGAGGGAUUCCUGAAAUGGAGCCUUCUUCAAACUCGUGCCUUAGGAUGGGCCGGGGGCAGAUUUAGGCUGUUGGCGGUGUAAUGGACCCACCAAACCGAAGAUCUGUACGGGCCCAUGAGAGGUGGUAGCCCCGGAGAGGGGACACUGAGAUACUGGUCCCCAGCCCUACGGGGUGCAGCAGGCGCGAAACCUUUUCAAUGCGCGAAAGCGUGAGAAGGGAAUUCCGAGUGCUCAAGCUUUGCUUGGGCUUUUGCUAAGUGUAAAAAGCUUGGCGAAUAAGGGGUGGGAAAGACCGGUGCCAGCCGCCGCGGUAACACCGGCGCCUCGAGUGGGGAUCGCGAUUAUUGGGCCUAAAGCGUUCGUAGCAGGUCUGGUAAAUCCUUUGUGAAAUCGGCAAGCCUAACUUGUCGGCGCGCAGGGGACACUGCAAGACUUGAGACCGGGAGAGGUCAGAAGUAUUCCUGGGGUACCGGUAAAAUGGGUUAAUCCCAGGAGGACUACCAAUGGCGAAGGCAUCUGACCAGAACGGUUCUGACUGUGAGGGACGAAAGCUAGGGGAGCAAAACGGAUUAGAUACCCGAGUAGUCCUAGCCGUAAACGCU